GUGUCAGCCUCCGCGGUAAUACGUAGGUGGCAAGCGUUGUCCGGAAUUAUUGGGCGUAAAGGGCUCGCAGGCGGUUUCUUAAGUCUGACGUGAAAGCCCCCGGCUCAACCGGGGAGGGUCAUUGGAAACUGGGGAACUUGAGUGCAGAAGAGGAGAGUGGAAUUCCACGUGUAGCGGUGAAAUGCGUAGAGAUGUGGAGGAACACCAGUGGCGAAGGCGACUCUCUGGUCUGUAACUGACGCUGAGGAGCGAAAGCGUGGGGAGCGAACAGGAUUAGAAACCCUUGUAGUCC
RNAcentral lists this ribosomal RNA (292 nucleotides) under uncultured prokaryote. Its description in RNAcentral is "partial 16S ribosomal RNA". It matches the Rfam family "Bacterial small subunit ribosomal RNA", at positions 505 to 796 of the family's 1533-position model. The record is from RNAcentral.